RNAcentral lists this long non-coding RNA (283 nucleotides) under Oryza brachyantha (malo sina). RNAcentral describes it as "long non-coding RNA (OBRA_LNC001893)". Lineage: Eukaryota; Viridiplantae; Streptophyta; Magnoliopsida; Poales; Poaceae. The record is from RNAcentral.
UUGAUUUAUGGUAACCGUGCGGCAUACAUCAGCUCUCCUCUCCCCUCUGCCGAGCCAUACUCCGGCAACGGAUGCUGGCUCCAGCGAAACCACAGACUCUGGCUGACUUCGUCGACGUACUGAUUUCUUCAGGAUGCCUUCAGCGAAACAUUGCAGUUCCAUCUCUGCACGUCCCGACGCUUCCCAUGCCAAACCAGCUGUGACCAAGAUGACAAGUACAACAACAAGAAGACAGCUAAAGAAGAUACUCGCUCUCUGUUUUAUAUUAUAAGAUGUUAACUCU